AAUACGUGCUGACGAGCGGCGAACGGGUGAGUAACGCUUCGGAAUCUGCCCAAUGGUGGGGAAUAACCAGCCCAAAGGUUGGCUAAUACCGCAUGAGCCCUACGGGGGAAAGCGGGGGAUCGUAAGACCUCGCGCCGAUGGAUGAGCCGAAGCCGGAUUAGCUAGUUGGUAGGGUAACGGCCUACCAAGGCGACGAUCCGUAGCUGGUCUGAGAGGACGACCAGCCACACUGGGACUGAGACACGGCCCAGACUCCUACGGGAGGCAGCAGUGGGGAAUAUUGGACAAUGGGGGAAACCCUGAUCCAGCGACGCCGCGUGUGUGAAGAAGGCCUGCGGGUUGUAAAGCACUUUUAGUGGGGAUGAAAAGCUCAGGGCUAACACCUCUGGGUCUUGACCUAACCCACAGAAAAAGCACCGGCUAACUCUGUGCCAGCAGCCGCGGUAAUACAGAGGGUGCAAGCGUUAAUCGGAAUUACUGGGCGUAAAGCGUACGUAGACGGUUGGAUAAGUCAGAUGUGAAAGCCCCGGGCUCAACCUGGGAAUUGCAUUUGAGACUGUUCAGCUAGGGUGCGGAAGAGGGAAGCGGAAUUU
Molecule: ribosomal RNA, 593 nt
Filed under: uncultured Gammaproteobacteria bacterium
Lineage: Bacteria; Pseudomonadati; Pseudomonadota; Gammaproteobacteria
Description: bacterial SSU rRNA
Rfam family: Bacterial small subunit ribosomal RNA
Source: RNAcentral